Molecule: long non-coding RNA, 1326 nt
Filed under: Chrysemys picta bellii (western painted turtle)
Lineage: Eukaryota; Metazoa; Chordata; Testudines; Emydidae
Description: lncRNA (ENSCPBG00000023816.1)
Source: RNAcentral
AUCAAGUGAACCCAGAUGUCAGAUAUAAACUUCACUGGGACGGUGGAAGCCAAGAAGAUGAUCCAGACACUUGGGAGCAGACUCUGUUGCUCUUCCUCUUUCUCCACUACUCAGACCAGUUUCAAGAUAAGCCAUUUUAUGAUUUCUGUAUGUAUAAAAUCGCUUGACUGUUUUCUAGGGUAACAUCCCAGCCCAAAUAUUGGGCUUGUCUUCCCCUAGAGGCUGGAAACAAAAACUGCAGUGUUGUAUAUGAUUAGUUCCUAGAGCCCCCAACCAAGAUCAGGGCCCCUAUUGUGCCAAGAGCUGCACAGACCCCGACUGAGAUCAGUGUCCCAGCGUGCCGGGUGCUGCACAGACCCCACCGAGAUGAGGGUUCCUUGCGUGGCAGGCACUGCACCAGCUCCAAAGGAGGUGGGGGUCCCCAGCAUGCUGGGUGCUGUACAGACCCCAGUGCAGUGCUACGGGGCACUAUGCUCCUGGGAACAUGAGAGAGCCCUGUUGCUGUUGCAGGGUUUGUGCAGCACCUGGAAGGACAGGGCCCUGCUCUCACUCAGGAUCUGUGCAGUACCUGGCACACUGGGGUCCUGGUCUUGUUUGGAUCCUCGGGGCAACCCUGCAACAUAAAUAAUAACUGAUUUGCCUUUGGGAUUUGACCUGUUUUUUGACUCCUUGGAUCAUCAUUGCCUAAAAAUGACUCUUCCCUAAGCAAACCAAACCCAAUGUAAACGAACCCCGAACUGUUGUGACUCAGGGACCCGGCGCAUGAUUGCAUCCCAUAUGGACCAGAUUCUCCUGUGCAGCCAGGAGGCAGUGAAGCGUGGAGUCCAGGCUGUCAUUGACGCAAUGCUACAGGAGCACUGCAAGAGAGGGAAGAACCAGCAGAGGUUGAAGCUGUCCCGGCCCGUCAUCCUAGGUGCCAUUUCCAGCGUGGUGUCCAGCAGCACUAACAGCCAGUUCAGACGGGAAUGUCUGCAGAGUUUGCAGGUUUCAGAUACCCCAGAGCUAAUGGCAGCCAUUCAAACAGCCUUUGAAAAUGUCACUCGGAAGCGACUGAUGCCCAAUGGCACAUGCAGCAUCACAAAACAGGUACCUGAGGAUGUCAACCCAGCCUGGCUUGCUGCAUGUGACUUACCAACAGCUAGCCAGAAGCUAUCACAGGAAGAGGCAUCUGACAGCAUCAAUUCUGUCGAUUCAGAGCCGGCCUCUCUGCUGGACAGAGUUGACUUGUGGGGAGAAAUUAGUGAAACUAAGAGGAGGAAGACAGCAACCAUAGAGAACAAUGCAGGGCGACCACUUGUGGCUGCAAGAGAUUUCCAACCUUUCUGA